Molecule: long non-coding RNA, 3207 nt
Organism: Solenopsis invicta (red fire ant)
Lineage: Eukaryota; Metazoa; Arthropoda; Insecta; Hymenoptera; Formicidae
Exons: 3
Source: RefSeq, a predicted model, not a curated record
GCGUAGCGUAUUAUUUUCAUUUACUCAUUCGCGGCUUAUUUCACGUAACCGCGGGCACCUCGACAAACGUCGCCUAAGAACCAACAGCGGCGAGGGAGAUAGACAGCGGCAAAAAAAGGAGAAGGCGAUCGUCCAGGGCCGGCGCACGGAAAGCCGCCGACGGAGAGGAGGACGAGACAAGACGUGGCGACAGAUAAGCGCCACGCAAAAGAGGCUCGCAAGUGGCACGGCUGAUGGACAGGCUGGGGUGGACGAACGGCCAGGACGAGGGCCAUCGAAUCCCAAUGAGAAAUGAUACAUCGAACCGAUGUCGAAUCGAUAUCGAUUUGAUCAAAUUUCAUCGAUGUGAUUUUUCCGGGUUAUUGAACAUCGAAAUCUCAAAUAUUUCGUAAUUAUUUCGAUGUCAUGAUAUUCGUAUUUGUUGGUAGCAGUAAUAAUACAAUAUAAUGUUUCUUUCAAAAUUUUCAUGUUUUUCCUUGUUUUUAUUGAAUAUCCAUUUGUUGUCGAUUCGAUAUCAAUUCGAUACUCGCAAGAGUUGCAGUGAAAAGCGACGCGGCGCGGUGCGUCAUCGCGCCGCGAUCUGCUCCUCUAACCUCUUUUCGUCUUUCGUCCCUGAGUCCGUUUGGGGCCGCAUACAUGUCGGACGUGUUCGCCCGUUACUCAUAUUUUUGUACCCGUCGAUUGCAUCACAAUCGGCAACGUGAUUGUUCUCGUGCACAGACUUUGUCUUCUUAACAUUUGCUUUCUUGCUACUUGAUAUUCGUCGAAUACAUCAUUGAUUUGCGAAGGAUAGCCGUAUCAUUCCCAGUUCUGUGGUGUGAUUGAUUUGUUAGUCAUAAACCAUUACAUUACUAGUUACUUAGUUUGUUUAAUAUAUUUAUUAUAGAUUCAUAUAACAAGGCUGCUGCUUAAAGCAAAGGAUAUGUGUAGAAUUCUAAUUAUGAAACAGACUGUCGUGAGUUAGGUAGAGGGCAUAGAAUAAAACGAAAGGCACAACGUUUAGACUUUGAGUCUGAAAAUGAAUCAGACUCUGGAUCGCAAAAUGUUAGAGUAAAAAAAACAAGGCGUUCAACCAACAAGAGUUUUUCAAAACUAAAGCAACUAGUACCAGUACCUCCUCCUGUUCCUUUGAUUGCAUCACGAAGAUUCAGCAUCUCUCCGCAUGAUUUAGUGCGCCAGCAUACUUCCCAGAAGAAACAAUCACCGAAGAAGAUAAAUAUUUGCAAAUUUCAAAAUGAUAAAGAAAAUCAAGUGACCAAACGUAUCAUGAACAUAGGGGAAAAAAUGCAGGAAGAAAAAAUGAAAAUACCGUGCUCUCUGAAAAACUUUGUCAGUUAUUAUCGAAUACAAAUAUUCAAAAACCUUGCAAAACAUCCCUGCAUCAAAAUAAAGAGACAUCUGACCAUAAAAAUGUAAACGAUUGUGAUUUAUUGGAAAAUCAAAAUUUUGGAGUCCAUCAAAAUUUUGAAAAGUUUAUUGAAAAUAGUCAAUUCACUUCAAAGAAGGAAAUUGUUUGAACAUUGCCUAUCUUCUAUAGAUAAACUUCUUUCGCCCAGCUCAUCCAAAAAGAGUAAUUUAUCAAGUGAGUUGAAACGAUCAACUAAUCCUUUGCGAAGUCUACCAUUUUCUGCUGCAGGCACAAGUUCAUCUUUCAAGAAUGAAAGCAGUUGUUCAUCUAAGAGUAAGAAAGCAGAUGUUUCUCUUAUACAUCUCAUCACAACAUUUCAUAAUGAGGUAAAGAGAGAAUUAAAAGAAUUGAAUAGCAAACUUGAUUUUGCUUUAACGAAUCAGGAGAAACUAUGCAGAUACAUACUUCCGAGUGACAAAGUCAUUAAAAGACAGGAUUCCCUUCGCUUCCAGUUCAAUCUGAAGAAGAAUUAAAUGCUUUGGAAACAUUUUUAUGUAAUGAUGGAAAUUUAUCAGCUGCAGUAAGUUUUUUAUUGUGUUGUUGCCAAAAGUAAUGACUAUGUUUUAAAGAAAUUACGUAAUUUUAUAUUUUCUUUUGCAGAGUAUAUAUCUUGGAAGAUUUGUUAAUAAAAAUAGUCUAGACGGUUCAGUCAGGAAACUAUUAAGAAAUGUUGUAUGCAACAAUGUUGCUAACAAAUUUAGCUUUCAAAGAACGAAAGGAAAGAAAAAGUUUGAAACUUUGAAGAUAUGGGAACUUAUUCUAGGUGCACUACUUUUAUAUUUCGAAAUGGAAGAAAUGUCUGCAGCUGAAAAUGUCGCAAAAUUAUGGCUGGCCAACGCUCCAUGGCGCACACAAUCAGAUGGGAUUAUUGAUCGUCGCCAAACGUGUAAAAAAUAGUAUGUGUAAACUGAGUUUAUUGAACCUACGAGAGAUUUGAUGAAAACGUUUUGUAAAGGCAACUGAAUUUUCUUUGACUAAAUUAUAAAAUAAAACAUUUAUACGCCAGUGUAAAGGAAAAGAUGGAAAAAAUGCAGCAACAUAAUAUGUUGUGGAUCGAGGUGCAAUUUUUAAAAAAGCCAGUUGACAUUUUGUGUUCCUGUAGACAGACUCUUAUGUACACUUACGUUUUUGCUUAUUAUGUGAAAAAGAACAAUCAGUCUGUGAUUUUUGAAGAGAACCAAAAGGAUUUGGAGAGCGCUAGAGGAGUGCCCCUCUGAAUAUCUUGAAAGAGAUAUCACGAGCGAAAAUCUGACAGGUAUUAAACAAAAGGUUCAGGAUAAAUAUUGAUACUGGGAUAACCAGAGAAAGGUGCUUUUCGAACUUGUCCAUGAAGGGUACGAGAAGAGAUGGUGGGAUUAUAAAGAAUAGAGGAUUUUUGCUAGUUUUAUUUCUUGGGGUGAUCAGAAAUCCUCUUCCUUCCCACCUCUGCCCCAGCUGUGAUAAACCAAGAAAGAGUUAACAAGAGACAAAAAUGGAGCAUGUCACAAGUGAUUAUAAAACGUGUUAUUUGCAUUUUAUGCUCUGUAGCAACACGUAUAAUGUCGUUUAUGAAUUAAUAUUGAACUCAAAUUAUUAAAAUUUAAUUCCGAUCAUAAAACAAGCUGAUUGGACAAUAUUUUGAUUUGCGCUUGCUGUGUCAUUGUAGAUUCUUGAUCCUUGAUAAAAAUGCCCUAUUGUUUUAGGAUUUUAAGAAAAAGUUAUAUUCCUUAAGACAAGAGUUGUGUCAUUCUUUGCUAAACAUACCUGGCAUGUUUGCGAUGUAAAAUAACUUGGCUAAAAAUUUACUGUUUUAUUUAGCA